RNAcentral lists this ribosomal RNA (944 nucleotides) under uncultured Bacteroidota bacterium. Its description in RNAcentral is "bacterial SSU rRNA". It matches the Rfam family "Bacterial small subunit ribosomal RNA", at positions 524 to 1482 of the family's 1533-position model. Lineage: Bacteria; Pseudomonadati; Bacteroidota. The record is from RNAcentral.
UACGGAGGAUCCGAGCGUUAUCCGGAUUUAUUGGGUUUAAAGGGUGCGUAGGCGGAAUAAUAAGUCAGUUGUGAAAGUUUGCGGCUCAACCGUAAAAUUGCAGUUGAUACUGUUAUUCUUGAGUGUACAUAAGGUAGGCGGAAUUCGUGGUGUAGCGGUGAAAUGCUUAGAUAUCACGAAGAACUCCAAUUGCGAAGGCAGCUUACCGGGGUACAACUGACGCUGAGGCACGAAAGUGUGGGUAUCAAACAGGAUUAGAUACCCUGGUAGUCCACACAGUAAACGAUGAAUACUCGCUGUUUGCGAUAUACCGCAAGCGGCCAAGCGAAAGCAUUAAGUAUUCCACCUGGGGAGUACGCCGGCAACGGUGAAACUCAAAGGAAUUGACGGGGGCCCGCACAAGCGGAGGAACAUGUGGUUUAAUUCGAUGAUACGCGAGGAACCUUACCCAGGCUUAAAUUGCAGAUGAAUAUAGUGGAAACAUUAUAGCCUUCGGGCAUCUGUGAAGGUGCUGCAUGGUUGUCGUCAGCUCGUGCCGUGAGGUGUCGGCUUAAGUGCCAUAACGAGCGCAACCCUUAUUGAUAGUUACUAACAGGUUAAGCUGAGGACUCUAUCGAGACUGCCGUCGUAAGAUGCGAGGAAGGUGGGGAUGACGUCAAGUCAGCACGGCCCUUACGUCUGGGGCUACACACGUGUUACAAUGGGGGGUACAGAAGGUCGCUACCUGGCAACAGGAUGCUAAUCCCAAAAGCCUCUCUCAGUUCGGAUUGGAGUCUGCAACCCGACUCCAUGAAGCUGGAUUCGCUAGUAAUCGCGCAUCAGCCACGGCGCGGUGAAUACGUUCCCGGGCCUUGUACACACCGCCCGUCAAGCCAUGGGAGCCGGGGGUACCUGAAGUGCGUAACCGUAAGGAGCGCCCUAGGGUAAAACUGGUGACUGGGGCU